AAAAGAGACCCUAAGAACCGAAGAGCAAAAAUGAUAUAUUUCUUUGUGCAAACCUGCUUGGAAAAAAAAAAAACUUCUCAGUUUUCUGCAAUGUUCUCAGAGAGAUGGAAAACCUUGCCUGUAAAGAAAAAGGGGAAUUAGAAGACAUGGCAACAGUGGAUGGGAUUCACUAUGAACAAGAAGUGGAAACCUAGAUCAGUCUAAAAGAGGAAGCCAAAAAGGUAUCAAAGGCAUCAAAGAAUCCCCGUGCUCCCUAAAGGCCUCUCCUGGCCUUCUGUCCUGAGCGCAGUUCCCAUCCCUGCUUAUCCACUGGUGGAGUUGCAAAGAAGCUGGGAGAGAUGCAGACUGACCCUGCUGUGGAUGAUGAGAAGCCCCAGGAGAGGAAGGAUGCAGAGCAGAAGGAAAAAUACAAACAGAAUGCUGCAGCCUUCAGAGCCAAAGGCAAGUCUGAUGUGAUGAAAGAGGAAGCUGUCAGAAGUGAGGGUCUGGGAGAGGGAAAGAAGGGGGAAAUGAUGUAUACUAUAUAUUAAGGCUGAAAGAGCAAGAAAAAGAAAGAAGGAAGAGGAAGAC
Molecule: long non-coding RNA, 570 nt
Filed under: Mus musculus (house mouse)
Lineage: Eukaryota; Metazoa; Chordata; Mammalia; Rodentia; Muridae
Description: long non-coding RNA chr13:31199085-31199655
Source: RNAcentral